CUUCCUCGAUCUGCUGGGGGCAGAUGAAGUGAAUAUGGGCAUCCAUGCCGCCGGCGGUGAGGAUCUUGCCUUCGCCCGCGAUGGCCUCGGUGGAAGGCCCGAUGAUGAUGGUGACGCCGGGCUGGGUAUCGGGAUUGCCUGCCUUGCCGAUGCCGACGAUGCGCCCAUCCUUCAAGCCGAUAUCGGCCUUGUAGAUGCCGGUGACAUCGACGACGAGCGCAUUGGUAAUGACGGUAUCGACGGCGCCCUCGGCGCGCGUGCGCUGCGACUGGCCCAUGCCGUCGCGGAUG
Molecule: small RNA, 290 nt
Filed under: Devosia enhydra
Lineage: Bacteria; Pseudomonadati; Pseudomonadota; Alphaproteobacteria; Hyphomicrobiales; Devosiaceae
Description: Prosthecomicrobium enhydrum 5' ureB small RNA
Rfam family: 5' ureB small RNA
Source: Rfam by way of RNAcentral